This 61-nucleotide transfer RNA is filed under the name Cordylochernes scorpioides. Its description in RNAcentral is "tRNA-Phe". It matches the Rfam family "tRNA". Rfam says of the family: Transfer RNA (tRNA) molecules are approximately 80 nucleotides in length. The record is from RNAcentral. Lineage: Eukaryota; Metazoa; Arthropoda; Arachnida; Pseudoscorpiones; Chernetidae.
ACCGAAAUAGCUCAGUUGUGAGAGCGUUAGACUGAAGAUCUAAAGGUCCCGGGUUUCGGCA